Molecule: non-coding RNA, 28 nt
Filed under: Cricetulus griseus (Chinese hamster)
Lineage: Eukaryota; Metazoa; Chordata; Mammalia; Rodentia; Cricetidae
Source: RNAcentral
AGAAAGGACUCUGGGGUUUUACACUGUU